GCCCCCGUGGCGCAAUCGGUAGCGCGCACGACUCUUAUCGAGUCUGCUUGAACCGGUUACGGGCCAUCAGUUAAUCGUGCGGUUGCGGGUUCGAGCCCCGCCGGAGGCU
Transfer RNA from Cryptococcus amylolentus CBS 6039, 109 nucleotides. It matches the Rfam family "tRNA". Rfam says of the family: Transfer RNA (tRNA) molecules are approximately 80 nucleotides in length. Their secondary structure includes four short double-helical elements and three loops (D, anti-codon, and T loops). Lineage: Eukaryota; Fungi; Basidiomycota; Tremellomycetes; Tremellales; Cryptococcaceae. The record is from Rfam.